RNAcentral lists this ribosomal RNA (520 nucleotides) under uncultured Diversispora. RNAcentral describes it as "SSU rRNA". It matches the Rfam family "Eukaryotic small subunit ribosomal RNA", at positions 569 to 1089 of the family's 1831-position model. Lineage: Eukaryota; Fungi; Glomeromycota; Glomeromycetes; Diversisporales; Diversisporaceae. The record is from RNAcentral.
AGCAGCCGCGGUAAUUCCAGCUCCAAUAGCGUAUAUUAAAGUUGUUGCAGUUAAAAAGCUCGUAGUUGAACUUCGGAAUUUAUUCAUUGGUCAGGCUUAACUGUCUGUACUGGUGUGAUGAAUUCCUACCUUCUGAGGAAUCUUCAUGCCAUUCACUUGGUGUGGUGGGGAAUCAGGACUGUUACUUUGAAAAAAUUAGAGUGUUUAAAGCAGGCUAACGUCUGAAUACAUUAGCAUGGAAUAAUAAAAUAGGACGGCUUGGUUCUAUUUUGUUGGUUUCUAGGAUCACCGUAAUGAUUAAUAGGGAUAGUUGGGGGCAUUAGUAUUCAAUUGUCAGAGGUGAAAUUCUUGGAUUUAUUGAAGACUAACUACUGCGAAAGCAUUUGCCAAGGAUGUUUUCAUUAAUCAAGACGAAAGUUAGGGGAUCGAAGACGAUCAGAUACCGUCGUAGUCUUAACCAUAAACUAUGCCGACUAGGGAUCGGACGAAGUUAAUUUUUAAAUGACUCGUUCGGCACCUU